Molecule: transfer RNA, 74 nt
Filed under: Jenufa perforata
Lineage: Eukaryota; Viridiplantae; Chlorophyta; Chlorophyceae
Description: tRNA-Arg
Rfam family: tRNA
About the family: Transfer RNA (tRNA) molecules are approximately 80 nucleotides in length.
Source: RNAcentral
ACACUCAUAGCUUAAUAGGAUAGAGCAUCUGGCUUCGAACCAGAGGGUUAGAGGUUCGAGUCCUCUUGAGUGUA